Long non-coding RNA from Hibiscus syriacus, 782 nucleotides. RefSeq lists it as uncharacterized. The record is from RefSeq and is a predicted model, not a curated record. NCBI's taxonomy places the organism in Eukaryota, Viridiplantae, Streptophyta, Magnoliopsida, Malvales, Malvaceae. The transcript is spliced from 2 exons.
UUAGCGGAUUUCUUCCGAUAAACUUGAUUGUUAUUUGAGAAAUGAAGACUGCUUAGCUCUUGCAGAUAAAAGGUAAAGCUACCUCAUCAAAGCAUUUCUACAGUUUUAGUACUUCUACAAUUUAUACAUUUAUUUUCUUCUUGUUAAACUAAUUCCAGCAGUGUUUGUAUCUUUGGUUCCUUAUGACCGAUUAUCUUAAAAAAAAGAAGGUGAAUUUCCCUUCUAAACUUUCUGAUUGUUUACUUAUAUGCUGCUGUUCAUGUCUGAGGCAUACUGCAGGGUUUACCGGCAACUGACAGAGAUGGUAAAAGUGAUUUUUCGGAUUGCAGAGAGAGGAUUAACAGAAUUGCAGAUUCGGGCCAUCCAGCCCCUACUCAUCAAAGCUGAAGAAAUGAAUUCAUGUAAAUCUGCAUGAGUCUUCCCUUGUCGAUGAACACUAAUACCUUUUUUUUUAACUCGGUGUUCAAAGGAAACCGAGUCGAAUUUGAUAGCAGCAACACCAUUUAAGUACGCACACACCUGCAUGCGUGCAUGUGCAUUAAAAGGAAGAAAGUGUACUACAAUGGAAAAAAACUCCCGACUCAGUCGGUGCCUCACUCUUCUCUUUCUGUUCUUGUAAAGAAGUUACAGAUGCUGAAAUCCGAAUUUAUGUCAAUUCGAUGAAAACACUCGACUUCUUCACAUUAUGUAAAGAAGGAAAGUGUUUUCAACGAAUUUCAUUUAUGUACGGGCAUUGUUAUUAGCAUUUUACUUAUCUAAGGUAUUUUUUUUAAUCUCAACUU